AGAAGACUGGGCUCUGAAUUUAAACUAUUUGAUGAAGUGGGAGCUCCUGGCAUGAGGAGGAGUGGCCAUUUGUCAUCAUCAGGAAAAGCUUCCCAGCAGACAGGAAUUUGGAGAGAUGAUAGUGCUUCAGCUUCCUUCAGUGCUGGGUGA
RNAcentral lists this long non-coding RNA (150 nucleotides) under Cyanistes caeruleus (blue tit). RNAcentral describes it as "lncRNA (ENSCCEG00000011786.1)". The record is from RNAcentral. Lineage: Eukaryota; Metazoa; Chordata; Aves; Passeriformes; Paridae.